AUGCCCAGGGACCCGCAUGUAGCGACUUCAGAUGCGGUAAGGCCAGCACGCUGUGCAUGGCUGCCGCCGGUGUCCCACUCAGCCAAGAUCAACGCAGACGGCAGGUUUUCCAAGAUCGGCGACAAGGGUGCCUCUGCUGCGGUGUGUCGCGAUAAAAACGGGAACUAUCUAGGGGCCUCAGCCAUCAUUUUUGAGGGCCUCUUGGACCCGGUGAUUCUCGAAGCACAGGCUUGUAGCGAGGCACUAGCACUCGCUACGGAUCUACAAGUUCAAUCCAUAUGUGUGGCCACAGACUGCCAAGAAGUUGUAUCAAGGAUCAAGGACGACUCCCCAUGCAAGUUUUACCCAAUUCUUCAAGAUAUCAAGCACCGCAGAUUAGCUUUUAGUGCGGUGGAGUUUAUCCACGAGAGUCGGAAGUAUAAUGGAGAGGCUCACGCUUUAGCUAAAGCUGCUGCAUCUCUCCCUCCCAGGUGCCAUGUGUGGCUUGUAACUUUGCCCGAAUCUGUAUUCCCAUGA
This 516-nucleotide ribosomal RNA is filed under the name Triticum aestivum (bread wheat). RNAcentral's name for it is "partial small subunit ribosomal RNA". The record is from RNAcentral. Lineage: Eukaryota; Viridiplantae; Streptophyta; Magnoliopsida; Poales; Poaceae.